CCUACGGGAGGCAGCAGUGGGGAAUAUUGCACAAUGGGCGGAAGCCUGAUGCAGCGACGCCGCGUGAGGGAUGAAGGCCUUCGGGUUGUAAACCUCUUUCAGCAGGGACGAAGCGUGAGUGACGGUACCUGCAGAAGAAGCACCGGCUAACUACGUGCCAGCAGCCGCGGUAAUACGUAGGGUGCGAGCGUUGUCCGGAAUUACUGGGCGUAAAGAGUUCGUAGGCGGUUUGUCGCGUCGUUUGUGAAAACCCGGGGCUCAACUUCGGGCUUGCAGGCGAUACGGGCAGACUUGAGUGUUUCAGGGGAGACUGGAAUUCCUGGUGUAGCGGUGAAAUGCGCAGAUAUCAGGAGGAACACCGGUGGCGAAGGCGGGUCUCUGGGAAACAACUGACGCUGAGGAACGAAAGCGUGGGUAGCAAACAGGAUUAGAUACCCUGGUAGUCCACGCCGUAAACGGUGGGCGCUAGGUGUGGGUUCCUUCCACGGGAUCUGUGCCGUAGCUAACGCAUUAAGCGCCCGCCUGGGGAUACGGCCGCAAGGCAAAACUCAAAGGAAUUGACG
Molecule: ribosomal RNA, 563 nt
Filed under: uncultured bacterium
Lineage: Bacteria
Description: bacterial SSU rRNA
Rfam family: Bacterial small subunit ribosomal RNA
Source: RNAcentral